RNAcentral lists this ribosomal RNA (497 nucleotides) under uncultured bacterium. RNAcentral's name for it is "partial 16S ribosomal RNA". It matches the Rfam family "Bacterial small subunit ribosomal RNA", at positions 28 to 507 of the family's 1533-position model. The record is from RNAcentral.
GAUGAACGCUGGCGGCGUGCCUAAUACAUGCGAGUCGAGCGAACGGACGAGAAGCUUGCUUCUCUGAUGUUAGCGGCGGACGGGUGAGUAACACGUGGAUAACCUACCUAUAAGACUGGGAUAACUUCGGGAAACCGGAGCUAAUACCGGAUGAUAUUUUGAACCGCAUGGUUCAAAAGUGAAAGACGGUCUUGCUGUCACUUAUAGAUGGAUCCGCGCUGCAUUAGCUAGUUGGUAGGGUAACGGCUUACCAAGGCAACGAUGCAUAGCCGACCUGAGAGGGUGAUCGGCCACACUGGAACUGAGACACGGUCCAGACUCCUACGGGAGGCAGCAGUAGGGAAUCUUCCGCAAUGGGCGAAAGCCUGACGGAGCAACGCCGCGUGAGUGAUGAAGGUCUUCGGAUCGUAAAACUCUGUUAUUAGGGAAGAACAUAUGUGUAAGUAACUGUGCACAUCUUGACGGUACCUAAUCAGAAAGCCACGGCUAACUACGUG